CUGGCGGCGUGCUACCUGCAGUCGAACGGGACUGGGGGCAACUCCAGUUCAGUGGCGAACGGGUGCGUAACACGUGAGCAACCUGCCCUUCGGUGGGGGAUAGCCGGCCUAACGGCCGGGUAAUACCGCAUACAGCGCCGGGACCGCAUGGUCCUGGGGUGAAAGCCGCAAGGCGCCGGGGGAGGGGCUCGCGCCCUAUCAGCUGGUUGGUGAGGUAACGGCUCACCAAGGCGACGACGGGUAGCUGGUCUGAGAGGAUGGCCAGCCACAUUGGGACUGAGAUACGGCCCAGACUCCUACGGGAGGCAGCAGUGGGGAAUAUUGCGCAAUGGCCGAAAGGCUGACGCAGCGACGCCGCGUGUGGGAUGACGGCCUUCGGGUUGUAAACCACUGUUGGGAGGGACGAAGGCCCCGCAAGGGGAUUGACGGUACCUCCAGAGGAAGCACCGGCUAACUCCGUGCCAGCAGCCGCGGUAAUACGGAGGGUGCGAGCGUUGUCCGGAAUCACUGGGCGUAAAGGGCGCGUAGGCGGCGCGGUAAGUCGGAUGUGAAAUCCCGGGGCUCAACUCCGGGGCUGCAUCCGAGACUGUCGUGCUCGAGCGUGGUAGAGGCGAGUGGAAUUCCCGGUGUAGCGGUGGAAUGCGUAGAGAUCGGGAAGAACACCAGUGGCGAAGGCGGCUCGCUGGGCCAUUGCUGACGCUGAGGCGCGAAAGCGUGGGGAGCAAACAGGAUUAGAUACCCUGGUAGUCCACGCCGUAACGAUGGGCACUAUGCGCCGGGGGGGAGCGACCCUUUCGGUGCCGUCGCUAACGCAGUAAGU
This 820-nucleotide ribosomal RNA is filed under the name uncultured bacterium. RNAcentral describes it as "bacterial SSU rRNA". It matches the Rfam family "Bacterial small subunit ribosomal RNA", at positions 36 to 865 of the family's 1533-position model. RNAcentral also lists the same sequence under 1 other name. The record is from RNAcentral.